AUUGAACGCUGGCGGCAGGCUUAACACAUGCAAGUCGAGCGGGGGAAGGUAGCUUGCUACCGGACCUAGCGGCGGACGGGUGAGUAAUGCUUAGGAAUCUGCCUAUUAGUGGGGGACAACAUCUCGAAAGGGAUGCUAAUACCGCAUACGUCCUACGGGAGAAAGCAGGGGAUCUUCGGACCUUGCGCUAAUAGAUGAGCCUAAGUCGGAUUAGCUAGUUGGUGGGGUAAAGGCCUACCAAGGCGACGAUCUGUAGCGGGUCUGGGAGGAUGGUCCGCCACACUGGGACUGGGAGACGGCCCAGACUCCUACGGGGGGCAGCAGUGGGGAAUAUUGGACAAUGGGGGUAACCCUGAUCCAGCCAUGCCGCGUGUGUGAAGAAGGCCUUAUGGUUGUAAAGCACUUUAAGCGAGGAGGAGGCUACUGAGACUAAUACUCUUGGAUAGUGGACGUUACUCGCAGAAUAAGCACCGGCUAACUCUGUGCCAGCCGCCGCAGUAA
This 501-nucleotide ribosomal RNA is filed under the name uncultured bacterium. RNAcentral describes it as "partial 16S ribosomal RNA". It matches the Rfam family "Bacterial small subunit ribosomal RNA", at positions 30 to 523 of the family's 1533-position model. The record is from RNAcentral.